This 484-nucleotide ribosomal RNA is filed under the name uncultured bacterium. RNAcentral describes it as "partial 16S ribosomal RNA". It matches the Rfam family "Bacterial small subunit ribosomal RNA", at positions 28 to 507 of the family's 1533-position model. The record is from RNAcentral.
AUUGAACGCUGGCGGCAUGCUUUACACAUGCAAGUCGAACGGCAGCGCGGGCUUCGGCCUGGCGGCGAGUGGCGAACGGGUGAGUAAUGCAUCGGAACGUGCCCAGUAGUGGGGGAUAGCCCGGCGAAAGCCGGAUUAAUACCGCAUACGACCUGAGGGUGAAAGCGGGGGACCGAAAGGCCUCGCGCUAUUGGAGCGGCCGAUGUCGGAUUAGCUAGUUGGUGGGGUAAAGGCUUACCAAGGCGACGAUCCGUAGCUGGUCUGAGAGGACGACCAGCCACACUGGGACUGAGACACGGCCCAGACUCCUACGGGAGGCAGCAGUGGGGAAUUUUGGACAAUGGGGGCAACCCUGAUCCAGCCAUGCCGCGUGCGGGAAGAAGGCCUUCGGGUUGUAAACCGCUUUUGUUCGGGAAGAAAUCCUCUGGGCUAAUACCCCGGGGGGAUGACGGUACCGGAAGUAUAAGCACCGGCUAACUACGUG